RNAcentral lists this ribosomal RNA (424 nucleotides) under Enterococcus faecalis. RNAcentral's name for it is "bacterial SSU rRNA". It matches the Rfam family "Bacterial small subunit ribosomal RNA", at positions 1 to 402 of the family's 1533-position model. Lineage: Bacteria; Bacillati; Bacillota; Bacilli; Lactobacillales; Enterococcaceae. The record is from RNAcentral.
UUAUUAUGAGAGUUUGAUCCUGGCUCAGGACGAACGCUGGCGGCGUGCCUAAUACAUGCAAGUCGAACGCUUCUUUCCUCCCGAGUGCUUGCACUCAAUUGGAAAGAGGAGUGGCGGACGGGUGAGUAACACGUGGGUAACCUACCCAUCAGAGGGGGAUAACACUUGGAAACAGGUGCUAAUACCGCAUAACAGUUUAUGCCGCAUGGCAUAAGAGUGAAAGGCGCUUUCGGGUGUCGCUGAUGGAUGGACCCGCGGUGCAUUAGCUAGUUGGUGAGGUAACGGCUCACCAAGGCCACGAUGCAUAGCCGACCUGAGAGGGUGAUCGGCCACACUGGGACUGAGACACGGCCCAGACUCCUACGGGAGGCAGCAGUAGGGAAUCUUCGGCAAUGGACGAAAGUCUGACCGAGCAACGCCGCGU